AGAGUUUGAUCCUGGCUCAGGAUGAACGCUGGCGGCGUGCUUAACACAUGCAAGUCGAACGAGCCUUCGGGCUAGUGGCGGACGGGUGAGUAACGCGUGAGAAUCUGCCCUCAGGAGGGGGAUAACGGCUGGAAACGGCCGCUAAUACCCCAUAUGCCGCGAGGUGAAAUGAGAAAUCGCCUGAGGAUGAGCUCGCGUCUGAUUAGCUAGUUGGUGGGGUAAGAGCCUACCAAGGCAUCGAUCAGUAGCUGGUCUGAGAGGAUGAUCAGCCACACUGGGACUGAGACACGGCCCAGACUCCUACGGGAGGCAGCAGUGGGGAAUUUUCCGCAAUGGGCGCAAGCCUGACGGAGCAACGCCGCGUGAGGGAUGAAGGCCUCUGGGCUGUAAACCUCUUUUCUCAAGGAAGAAGAACUGACGGUACUUGAGGAAUAAGCCACGGCUAAUUCCGUGCCAGCAGCCGCGGUAAUACGGGAGUGGCAAGCGUUAUCCGGAAUUAUUGGGCGUAAAGCGUCCGCAGGCGGUCUUGAAAGUCUGUUGUUAAAGCGUGGAGCUCAACUCCAUUUCAGCAAUGGAAACUAGAAGACUAGAGUGUGGUAGGGGCAGAGGGAAUUCCCGGUGUAGCGGUGAAAUGCGUAGAUAUCGGGAAGAACACCAGUGGCGAAGGCGCUCUGCUGGGCCAUAACUGACGCUCAUGGACGAAAGCCAGGGGAGCGAAAGGGAUUAGAUACCCCUGUAGUCCUGGCCGUAAACGAUGAACACUAGGUGUCGGGGGAAUCGACCCCCUCGGUGUCGUAGCCAACGCGUUAAGUGUUCCGCCUGGGGAGUACGCACGCAAGUGUGAAACUCAAAGGAAUUGACGGGGGCCCGCACAAGCGGUGGAGUAUGUGGUUUAAUUCGAUGCAACGCGAAGAACCUUACCAGGGUUCGACAUCCUGCGAAUCUUUUGGAAACAGAAGAGUGCCUUCGGGAGCGCAGAGACAGGUGGUGCAUGGCUGUCGUCAGCUCGUGUCGUGAGAUGUUGGGUUAAGUCCCGCAACGAGCGCAACCCACGUCUUUAGUUGCCAGCAUUAAGUUGGGCACUCUAGAGAGACCGCCGGUGAUAAACCGGAGGAAGGUGUGGAUGACGUCAAGUCAUCAUGCCCCUUACAUCCUGGGCUACACACGUACUACAAUGCUACGGACAGAGGGCAGCAAACUCGCGAGAGCUAGCAAAUCCCAUAAACCGUGGCUCAGUUCAGAUCGUAGGCUGCAACUCGCCUACGUGAAGGAGGAAUCGCUAGUAAUCGCAGGUCAGCAUACUGCGGUGAAUACGUUCCCGGGCCUUGUACACACCGCCCGUCACACCAUGGAAGUUGGCCAUGCCCGAAGUCGUUACUCCAACCCUUGUGGAGGAGGACGCCGAAGGUGGGGCUGAUGACUGGGGUGAAGUCGUAACAAGGUA
This 1444-nucleotide ribosomal RNA is filed under the name metagenome. RNAcentral's name for it is "bacterial SSU rRNA". It matches the Rfam family "Bacterial small subunit ribosomal RNA". The record is from RNAcentral.